RNAcentral lists this long non-coding RNA (972 nucleotides) under Cyanistes caeruleus (blue tit). RNAcentral describes it as "lncRNA (ENSCCEG00000014519.1)". Lineage: Eukaryota; Metazoa; Chordata; Aves; Passeriformes; Paridae. The record is from RNAcentral.
AUUUCAAUUUUCCAGCUUUGGAAAACCAUCAAUUACAAAGUAUUAAAACCUGUCACAUGAAAAGAAGAGUCACAAAUACAUUUUAAAAAUAUAUAAAAAAUAUUUUAAUGAAUAUUUAAAAUAAUUUUAUUUAAAAUGUUUUUUAAAAUGUGUUACCAGCUCAGCCCUAAUAAGAAAUUUUGAUGGUGUUUGUGCAAUUCUCCAUUAUUCCUUUACAGGUGAGCCUAUGUAAAAUAGAGAAGAGAUUGUUAUUGCUGUAUUGCAAUCAUCAAGCCUUAUUUCAUUACAAUUAUUCCAGUAGUUAUUCAUCGUCAGUAUCAUGAUAAUUUUAAUAAGUGUAAAAAGCACAUUCUUUGUUCAUUAGUUUUUUCCUAAUGUUAUGAUCCUCAUGUCAUUUGCAAUCGGUAGACAUUCAAAUUAAAGUCUAAGAGAUGGAAAAAUUCCUUUGUGGAUUGAAUUUAACCCUGAAUUUUCUGAUUUAUAGUCAUUCUAUAAUGCAGUUAAAAAAGCUGAUGGACAAACACGAGCACAGAUUACAGCUGAGAUCAUGGCACAUGAUCUAAUGUUGGGCCCUCUGAGUGUACCAGAGGUGUCUGUGAAGAAACACUGUGAAAAAUGUACCAAGUAGAAAGGAGUGAAUGUGCAUUAUGGCUGUAUGAGGUGGAGCAAGCUACUCAGGAAAUGCCUUCAGUGCCAGCUGAGAGUACUGCUCCAGGAACAAUUGCUCCAAAUGAUACAAGUAUUCACUGUUCUGGAUAUAAACCUGUGCUAAAAUCAACUGAUUACAGCUCUGGCCACAGAAAAGAACCAGGAACAAAUGACUUUGAACCAGGUAGUCUGUGCACUUUUAAAUUAAUUAGCAUGUCUUUGAACUUAAUUUAUUUUCUGUUGCAUGGUCUGAAAUAAAUAGCAGUUACUAAUAAUCUUUUUAAAACUAAUUUUUGUGAUACACUGUAAGAAACAGAGAGAAAG